GCGUGCAGCAGUAUGGGCGGGAGGCUGUUGAAUGCGUCUCUGUGCUGCCAGGUGCCACAGAGAGAGAUUUUCCCGUGGUAGCGGCAUCCCUCCAACAUGUGUCCACACGGUCUUCUUCGGACGCCCCCACUCCAUCGGCACACUGCAGCGUAGGUUAUAUGAACCACGUUGGUCAAAAAGCUGCCAACACAAAUUUGAGGCAGCGGCUCUACAAGGCCGGUCUUUGGAGUAUGGAACUUUGUAACUAUCCAGCAACAGAGAAAAAGGAGGUGGAUUUGGUGUGUUCUUCUCUGCGGAAAAACGAUUUUCUUGCCAUCACCUGGUGCUUUCUCCACGAGAGAACAAACUGUGCUACGUGCCCCUGGAACAACACUACUCUCACCAUCUUGCACCUUUGUUUCCGGCGUUGAUGAUUCAUUGCCGGGAUGUAACAAAUCCUCUAUUAGCUGAAGCCCAGCCUGUUGAGUUGGUUGUUAGACCUUCUAGUGGCUGGUAGCCAGUGUUGACUGGGAAAGCUUCCAGCCUCAGAGGGACAAUUAACCCAGGAAUGGUCAAACUCGGCAGGAAGCCCUCAACAACCAGCCACUGCUAUUUAUCCACUUUCCAAUGAAACCAAUUACUUUUACUGUGAGUCUCAGUGUCGACAGUAUGCUUGUUGUUCUUGCAGACCAAUAGAGUAUGGCUGUGAAAGGAGAGGCAGACGUGAAGUAGGAAACCCUCCUGAGAUUCUUCAACAGGCUGUAAUGUAUGAGUGUGAGACUGAUUUGAAGGACACACAAAGACUUUUAAUAUUAUUAUUUAUUGGAUUUUUAUAUUAAUUUUAUUGUUCUCUUUGACCUAUGUUGCUGUAUUGUUGUAUUGUUGCUUUGGCAGCUUCUGAUGUCAAAGCACUUUUGGGACUAUUCUUGACUUUUUCUGUUGAAGGAUGAAUAAGUACUUAAUAAAAAACAAGUUUAACCCCAA
Long non-coding RNA from Mugil cephalus (flathead mullet), 963 nucleotides. RefSeq lists it as uncharacterized. Lineage: Eukaryota; Metazoa; Chordata; Actinopteri; Mugiliformes; Mugilidae. The transcript is spliced from 3 exons. The record is from RefSeq and is a predicted model, not a curated record.